Molecule: ribosomal RNA, 169 nt
Filed under: uncultured bacterium
Lineage: Bacteria
Description: partial 16S ribosomal RNA
Rfam family: Bacterial small subunit ribosomal RNA
Source: RNAcentral
CCUACGGGAGGCAGCAGUGGGGAAUAUUGGACAAUGGGCGCAAGCCUGAUCCAGCCAUGCCGCGUGAGUGAUGAGGGCCCUAGGGUUGUAAAGCUCUUUCACCGGUGAAGAUAAUGACGGUACCGGAAGAAUAAGCCCCGGCUAACUUCGUGCCAGCAGCCGCGGUAAU